Molecule: non-coding RNA, 45 nt
Organism: Schistosoma margrebowiei
Lineage: Eukaryota; Metazoa; Platyhelminthes; Trematoda; Strigeidida; Schistosomatidae
Source: Rfam
AUCCGGCUGACGAGUCCCAAAUAGAACGAGAUGUGCGUCCUGCAU